UUGGAGGGCAAGUCUGGUGCCAGCAGCCGCGGUAAUUCCAGCUCCAAUAGCGUAUAUUAAAGUUGUUGCAGUUAAAAAGCUCGUAGUUGAAUUUCGGGAUCAAUUUGCCGGUCGAGACCUCUGGUACGUACUUGUAUUAUUGAUUUCUUUCAUUCUGAUAAAUCAUUGAUGUCAUUAAUUUGAUGACUUUGAGGAAUCGGAACUUUUACUUUGAAAAAUUAGAGUGUUUAAAGCAGGCUUAUUAGGCUUGAAUACAUUAGCAUGGAAUAAUGAAAUAGGACGAUUGAUCCUAUUUUUGUUGGUUUCUAGGAUUGACGUAGUGAUUAAUAGGGAUAGUUGGGGGCAUUAGUAUUCAAUUGUCAGAGGUGAAAUUCUUGGAUUUAUUGAAGACUAACUACUGCGAAAGCAUUUGCCAAGGAUGUUUUCAUUAAUCAAGAACGAAGGUUAGGGGAUCGAAGACGAUCAGAUACCGUCGUAGUCUUAACCAUAAACUAUGCCGACUAGGGAUCGGAUGAUGUUAAUUUUUUAAUGACUC
Molecule: ribosomal RNA, 535 nt
Filed under: uncultured Glomeraceae
Lineage: Eukaryota; Fungi; Glomeromycota; Glomeromycetes; Glomerales; Glomeraceae
Description: bacterial SSU rRNA
Rfam family: Eukaryotic small subunit ribosomal RNA
Source: RNAcentral